AAGAUGAGACAGAGAUCUAAGUAGUUGCAGAUAUCAGGGAAAUGAUCAAGCUUUCUCCUGAGAGUACCUAAUAUCUCCAGUGCUGUCCUGCAUUAUUUGCUUGAAGUUGUGGAGUUCGUAGUUGUUCUUAUGAAGAUAGAUUUGCCCCAUUUCCUAUGGUUUAUUUUACCUUGGACAAACUUAUAUGUUCUGACUUGUUUUCCGUUUAAGAUUUGUAAUAACUUAUAUUAUGCAUCUAAUGCUUAUUCGAACUCGUUUCAG
This 261-nucleotide unclassified non-coding RNA is filed under the name Hevea brasiliensis (rubber tree). Lineage: Eukaryota; Viridiplantae; Streptophyta; Magnoliopsida; Malpighiales; Euphorbiaceae. The record is from RNAcentral.